GCCUGGGUGGCUGAGUCGGUGAAGCGUCCGACUUCGGCUCAGGUCAUGAUCCCACAGUUCGUGGGUUCGAGCCCCGCGUCGGGCC
This 85-nucleotide transfer RNA is filed under the name Felis catus (domestic cat). It matches the Rfam family "tRNA". From Rfam's summary of the family: Transfer RNA (tRNA) molecules are approximately 80 nucleotides in length. Their secondary structure includes four short double-helical elements and three loops (D, anti-codon, and T loops). Further hydrogen bonds mediate the characteristic L-shaped molecular structure. tRNAs have two regions of fundamental functional importance: the anti-codon, which is responsible for specific mRNA codon recognition, and the 3' end, to which the tRNAs corresponding amino acid is attached (by aminoacyl-tRNA synthetases). tRNAs cope with the degeneracy of the genetic code in two manners: having more than one tRNA (with a specific anti-codon) for a particular amino acid; and 'wobble' base-pairing, i.e. permitting non-standard base-pairing at the 3rd anti-codon position. Lineage: Eukaryota; Metazoa; Chordata; Mammalia; Carnivora; Felidae. The record is from Rfam by way of RNAcentral.